AAAUUGAGGGGCAAAAGACUGCACCCAAGGCCGAGGAGACAUUCCAUCUGUUUCCCCAUCUCCAUCUUUCAAUGCUAUACAUGAGGAGAUUCAACAUGAGGAUCACCACUGUGCAUAACAGAUACCACUUCGUGCACCUGGAGGUUUAGGAGUUACGGCACAGACUCGGAGAAGAGAAUGGUGCCUUGAAAAAUGGGGUUCCAGUCUGGUGUAAAACUGACAAUUGGAGAGGAUUUUGUGAUGUUCACCUGCUGAGUACAUCCAGAGACUGGUGGCAAUGAAAAACACAUAAGAUGGGAGAAGGAAGAGCAGUGUGCUCACCUCAUAAAUCAUCAUGGCCCUGAGAAGAAGCAAUUGGCGGACAUAAGACUUGGAGUAAGAAAAAGACACUGGUGAAGAGAGCUCACAGACGUGAUCGAUUGUGUUGAACCAGUAAAAGAAAUGGAGAAACUUGCCUGACUGACGGUGUGGAGGCACCCCCUGAUUCUUCCUGGAGGAGAGAUAGUCUUCACGAAAAUUCAACACAGUCAGGUGGUCCCUCUAGGGACCUGAAACCCCCUUGCUGCAGCUCUGAGCAUCUGAGAGGCUGUCAGGGGACCCUCCAUGCAGUCUUUUCCAGGUUUCAAGGAUGGAGUCAGUGUAAGAGAUGAGGAAGAAGAGAAGGAGAGACCAGUCAUUCUCCCCAGUUUCCUUGCACCCUCUUCCCUCUUACACCAGCAGCUGUUACAAGGUGGUUGGUCCUGCAGAUUAAACUGCUUCCAUUCCCGA
Molecule: long non-coding RNA, 768 nt
Organism: Suricata suricatta (meerkat)
Lineage: Eukaryota; Metazoa; Chordata; Mammalia; Carnivora; Herpestidae
Exons: 4
Source: RefSeq, a predicted model, not a curated record